CUUAGCUACGAAAUCCACCAAGAGACUGAAAAGGUGCUUCAGUUGAUGUUCUCGUUCAGUUGCAGCUUUAAAGGAUGGAUGGAGUAAUUAUAUUAUUUAUGGAGCUGACUGCCAAGGCCAGCUAGCAAGAAAAGAGAGAGAGAGGAACUGCUAGAUGUCUCUGCAAUUAUUCUUUCACUGUCUCUAGGAGUCUAGCUCUAUAGGCUACAAGAUCUGGUUGCCUCUGACGCAGGUUGUUGACUUCUUCUACAACGUUUAAUAUAAGAAUACACAUCUAAAAAGGACCUCUACAACGACUACUAUAUAAAUGUACCUGUGUCUAUGUCAUCAUUACUGUACUGAUUGAGCUCGAGAUUGAGGUUCCUUGUCACACUACUUGAGAAUAUGUACAUAUAUAAAUUGGAAUGCUCAUGCCAUCAAUGAUUUCAACCCAUCAUGACCAGAAGCAUCGUGGACACACCUAUACUUUAGGAACUAUCAGAAUUUGGCAGUUAAGUUACUGGCUGUGGACAUGGCUGGUCUGUGACAGUACAAACAGUCAAACAAAAAAUGUAUAAUGUGACAGAGGACAUGGCUGGUCUGUGGACAGUACGAACAGUCGAACAACACAUUAUAUUGUGUGACAGAGGACAUGGCUGGUAGUACAAACAGUCAAACAGAAAAUUUAUAAAUUGACACACUCGAGCAGCACAAGCACUAGAAGAAACAUUCCUAUUAGUGUUGUAAACUGUCGAACUGUCUGGCUAUGUUUGUUUCUUAAAAAUUUUAACACUUCGUUGAAUUAUUCAUGCCAAA
Molecule: long non-coding RNA, 795 nt
Organism: Halichondria panicea
Lineage: Eukaryota; Metazoa; Porifera; Demospongiae; Suberitida; Halichondriidae
Exons: 11
Source: RefSeq, a predicted model, not a curated record